GAUGAACGCUGGCGGCGUGCCUAAUACAUGCCAGUCGAGCGAACAGACGAGGAGCUUGCUCCUCUGACGUUAGCGGCGGACGGGUGAGUAACACGUGGAUAACCUACCUAUAAGACUGGGAUAACUUCGGGAAACCGGAGCUAAUACCGGAUAAUAUAUUGAACCGCAUGGUUCAAUGGUGAAAGACGGUUUUGCUGUCACUUAUAGAUGGAUCCGCGCCGCAUUAGCUAGUUGGUAAGGUAACGGCUUACCAAGGCAACGAUGCGUAGCCGACCUGAGAGGGUGAUCGGCCACACUGGAACUGAGACACGGUCCAGACUCCUACGGGAGGCAGCAGUAGGGAAUCUUCCGCAAUGGGCGAAAGCCUGACGGAGCAACGCCGCGUGAGUGAUGAAGGUCUUCGGAUCGUAAAACUCUGUUAUUAGGGAAGAACAAAUGUGUAAGUAACUAUGCACGUCUUGACGGUACCUAAUCAGAAAGCCACGGCUAACUACGUG
RNAcentral lists this ribosomal RNA (497 nucleotides) under uncultured bacterium. RNAcentral's name for it is "partial 16S ribosomal RNA". It matches the Rfam family "Bacterial small subunit ribosomal RNA", at positions 28 to 507 of the family's 1533-position model. The record is from RNAcentral.